UUGGGCUAUCAUCUAUACCACCCAGUAGUACCCUUAGGGUUAGGAUGAUGUGGGCCCCCUAGGGCUAAGUAGUGGUUGGUUGAAUAGUAUAAUCUAACGGGUAAAAAUAAUUAAAGGGUUAAAUUUAACGAUGGAAAACUCGAUAGCGCAUCAAAUUCUUGGUGCUAUCGAUAGUAUCCCAGCGGGACUCCCCCUACCUGUUCAUUAUUAAUUAGCAGGCCUUUUAUUGUGAACAGAUUCCAACACAGCUACAUAUAUACAUUCCUACAUUAUCUUUUAAGGGAUAGUUGUUUAUGUACGUAUGAAAAUUUCUUGACUUUCUUAUUUAUUCUUUUUAGAAGGUUAAUAUUAAAGAUAUUUUUUUUAAUAUUUUAAAUUAUUGCAAAUAUGCUACUAAAUUUAAAUUUUGUUAGGAAACUGUUAGGGACAGCCGUUAUCUCUGUAAAAUUAUCAUUUUAUUAUUUUAAAUAAAUACUUCUACUGUCAUCAACUUUUCUUAUUUGCUUAAGUUAGGGGCAAAAAAAGUAUUUUGACCAUUUACCUUUUCAAAUUUACCCUUCUACUGUUACCAACUUUUUUUAUUUGUUCUUAAGUUAGGGACAAAAGAGAUAUUUUGAUUUUUUUAACUUUGAUGACUUAACGGAUACUAAUACCGAAAUUAUUUUUGAAUAACGAAAAAAUAUAUGAAAGAUAUAUUUGAAACAAAAAAAAAGUAAAAAUAUAUAAGUAUUUCAAAGGUUUUGAGAGGUAUAUUAGAUAAUAU
This 763-nucleotide long non-coding RNA is filed under the name Ananas comosus (pineapple). Its description in RNAcentral is "long non-coding RNA (ACOM_LNC031132)". The record is from RNAcentral. Lineage: Eukaryota; Viridiplantae; Streptophyta; Magnoliopsida; Poales; Bromeliaceae.